This 301-nucleotide ribosomal RNA is filed under the name uncultured bacterium. Its description in RNAcentral is "partial 16S ribosomal RNA". It matches the Rfam family "Bacterial small subunit ribosomal RNA", at positions 509 to 808 of the family's 1533-position model. The record is from RNAcentral.
CAGCAGCCGCGGUAAUACGAAGGGGGCUAGCGUUGCUCGGAAUGACUGGGCGUAAAGGGCGCGUAGGCGGAUGGCACAGUCAGAUGUGAAAUUCCCGGGCUUAACCUGGGGGCUGCAUUUGGUACGUGUGAUCUAGAGUGAGGAAGAGGGUCGUGGAAUUCCCAGUGUAGAGGUGAAAUUCGUAGAUAUUGGGAAGAACACCGGUGGCGAAGGCGGCGACCUGGUCCUUACUGACGCUGAGGCGCGAAAGCGUGGGGAGCAAACAGGAUUAGAUACCCCAGUAGUCCCUGUCUCUUAUACC